GUCAUGCGGAGCUACCAUGCAGUCGUACGAGAAGGUUCUUUCGGGAACUGGAGAGUGGCGCACGGGUGAGUAACGCGUGGGGACCUACCUCUUAGUGGGGGAUAACGGUUGGAAACGACCGCUAAUACCGCAUACGCCCUUCGGGGGAAAGAUUUAUCGCUAAGAGAUGGACCCGCGUUGGAUUAGAUAGUUGGUGAGGUAACGGCUCACCAAGUCAGCGAUCCAUAGCUGGUUUGAGAGGAUGAUCAGCCACACUGGGACUGAGACACGGCCCAGACUCCUACGGGAGGCAGCAGUGGGGAAUAUUGGACAAUGGGCGCAAGCCUGAUCCAGCCAUGCCGCGUGAGUGAAGAAGGCCUUCGGGUUGUAAAGCUCUUUCAGAUGCGAAGAUGAUGACGGUAACAUCAGAAGAAGCCCCGGCUAAUUUCGUGCCAGCAGCCGCGGUAAUACGAAAGGGGCAAGCGUUGUUCGGAUUUACUGGGCGUAAAGGGCACGCAGGCGGUCCUGCCAGUCAGGGGUG
RNAcentral lists this ribosomal RNA (520 nucleotides) under Thalassospira sp. Its description in RNAcentral is "bacterial SSU rRNA". It matches the Rfam family "Bacterial small subunit ribosomal RNA", at positions 41 to 596 of the family's 1533-position model. Lineage: Bacteria; Pseudomonadati; Pseudomonadota; Alphaproteobacteria; Rhodospirillales; Thalassospiraceae. The record is from RNAcentral.